This is a non-coding RNA of Lactuca sativa (garden lettuce), 2667 nucleotides long. The record is from RefSeq and is a predicted model, not a curated record. Lineage: Eukaryota; Viridiplantae; Streptophyta; Magnoliopsida; Asterales; Asteraceae.
GCCUCCAUCGUUUAACACCUAAGGAGAGAAAUGAAAUCCCAAAAAAUUAAAAACCCCGCUUGUUCUCCGAUCCUCUCCCUUUCAUCUUUUUGAUGUUCAUGUUAUCAAAGUGAUGCAGGUCCUCCUUCUAAUGUAAAAUCCUCUAACGAAGUAACCCUAUUAGCACUGUGCGGUUGUGAAUCUUUCUCCCUUUCAGAUUUUUGGCGCUCUGCAACCAUGGUAUCAACUACAAACAAUAAUGAACCCUAGAUCAUAUUCAAUACUCAUCCGUCCCCCCAUUCACCACUUGCUACCAGCUAUCACCAUUUUUAUGGUCUCCAAGCUCUGAAUUAGGGUUUACUUUGGCGAUAAUUUCAACUUCUCUUACUCCAGCAUCCCAACUCUCCGAUCCUAAAUCCCCCGUUGCUACCUUGCCUCUUUUCUCCGGGCUCUGCCGUUCUUCGAAGGUCGACUCCACUUCACUCUUCAAAACUCAAUCACCCUUCCAAAAUGUAAAUUCUCACAUACGACUCUCCUCUCCUUCUAAACGACCUUACACCCGUAUAGUCGCCAUGGACGGUACAGGGAAGGGUUGUUUCCUUGAACAAGAAUCGAUUACGGAUGCACAUAAGGUGCUUGACAUAAUGUCUCUGUUAGGUGUUCACCCAGAUGAGACCACUUUUGGCUACCUUGUCUAUCUAUAUGCAAAAAAAGGACUCGAGCACAAGAUGAUUGAACUACAAGACUUGGAUAUAAACUUCUUUGACUCUGAAAGUAUUGGAGAUGUGACUAGUCGGUUAGGAUCAGUUUGUCACGGGUUAUUGGGAAUGAUCUUAACCUAAUAUUACGCAUUCUUCUUCAGGCCACAGGGGAUUUGAUCUACUUGUUAGUGUUGUCUUGGCCACUUGGCUUAUUCACAUUGGCCAUAUGCUCUACUUUGUUACUAUUUAUGUUAAAAUAUGGACAAUAAGUUCUCCUAUUUGUAUUUUAGUAGAUUGAUCAUAUGCAGUAAAUGUAAAUGUUGACGCUUUUAUCAAAUAUAAAAGUUUAAAUUGAAACACAUGUCUUAUAUCCGUGAAGGAGCUUCAUUUGAUAAUUGAAGCAUGUCUUAUAUCCGUGAAGGAGCUUCAUUUGGUACUCUUUUUGGACCUGCCCUUGAGCUUGGAAUAGUUUCUAGAAGGAGAGUGUAUUAUGAGACUCUAAAAUAUGAAAAGUACAAAAAUGGUGGAUUUCUGUCACCCUUUGGGUACUCAACUACCACCACUGCUGCAGUAGUUGGUCAUGUUCUCUCAACAGAGGUGUGCUUUUUCCACUAUUGCCCUCUAUCUUGAUGAAUCUUAUUCCAAAAUUGUGACUCUUUUGGCAGUGGUGUAGUCUUUUGUCAUCAAGAAGUCAACUUGAUUCAACUAAAUGAUAUUCUAUUCGGUACUCGAAGUAGAAUGGUUAUCGAAUAUAGUUGAUUUUGAUUUCAAAUCACUCAUGGGAUUUUCUUGUUUUUUUUUUCUUUUCAGUAUGCUAUUGUCGGAAGUGAAGGUCCUGCAAUUCUUCUUGUGCAUGGUUUUGGUGUUUUUUUGGAGCAUUAUCAUUGAUGUUAUUGGGGAACCAUUUCAUCUUGUUGGGAAAUCAUUCGGAGGCGAUUUAAUCCUUACGUUGCCAGUUGUCACAGGAUCUGAACUAGUAUUUAGUCAGAUAUGAGUGAUCUCCCAAAUGAUUGCAAUGGAAAUAGGGAUUUCAAUCCUCCAAAGGGUCGAAAUGAGAAUGGUUGUUACCAUUCUAGGUAGGGAUGCAACUUUAACGAGGCGGGGACUCCCCGUCUUGACGGGUAACGGGGCGGGGACGAGUACUAAUUUUCACACCCGAAGCGGAUAGGGAGCGGGGAUGGACCCGUUGAGAUGUUAAAUGACACAAUUGCCCUUUGUGGGUAUCUCAACUCCUUUUAAACAUUGCUCAAGGUAUAUUUUGUAUCUACAUUGGCAUAUAUUGGAAUCUACCAUCUCUGAGAAGGAUUUUUUUUUAGAAAGGUUGUUUUCAUGGGGAACAAGUAAAGAAGGGGAGUCUUUUCUUAUUGAAUGGAAUGAAACUGAAAGAGCAAUUAAGAAGACUUAUACUGGUUUCAGAAAGAAAUCAAAUGGCGUUGCACAUUUUGACACAAAUCAGAACAACUUUUUGGUUGUUGGUGAAGAAAACCAAAUAAAGUUUUGGGACAUGCAUAAUAUGAAUAUUCUCACUACCACAGAUGCUGAUGGUGGACUCCAGAUUUUUCUGCGAUUGAGGUUCAACAAGGAAGGAAAUCUUCUUGUUGUUGCUACUAUUGAAUACAAGGUUGAUUCUGCUACAUGGCCAAUAAUGAUCUCUAGGGUCUGCUAGAAUGAUUGGAGAUUGCAGUUAAGCAUGUAUCUAAGACUUCACACCAAGGAUUUCAUGAAUUUAAGCUAGCAAUGUUUUACUUGAUCGGAUAUGAACCCUAAGAUAUCAUACUUUGGCAUGGCUAGAAUCUUUGGAGGAAAUGAGACUCAAGCAAAAGCAAACACACAGAGAGUUGUUGGCACAUAGUAAGCUAGAUAAUGCAAUUAUAUAUAAAUUAUGCUUCUCUUGAGUUCAUUUUUUUUUAUAACAUUUACUCACUAUUGGAAUAAUUAUUUGUAUUUGACAUAUUAGUGAAAUGAAUUAUCUUUGUUAUUUGUGGUA